GCCGUGGUGGUUCAGUGUGGUAGAAUUCUCACCUUCAUGAGGGAGACCCGGGUUCGAUUCCUGGCCAGUGCU
This 72-nucleotide transfer RNA is filed under the name Loxodonta africana (African savanna elephant). It matches the Rfam family "tRNA". From Rfam's summary of the family: Transfer RNA (tRNA) molecules are approximately 80 nucleotides in length. Their secondary structure includes four short double-helical elements and three loops (D, anti-codon, and T loops). Lineage: Eukaryota; Metazoa; Chordata; Mammalia; Proboscidea; Elephantidae. The record is from Rfam by way of RNAcentral.